GAGUUUGAUCGUGGCUCAGAUUGAACGCUGGCGGCAGGCUUAACAUAUGCAAGUCGAGCGGGGGAGAUUGCUUCGGUAAUUGACCUAGCGGCGAACGGGUGAGUAAUACUUAGGAAUCUGCCUAUUAAUGGGGGACAACAUCUCGAAAGGGAUGCUAAUACCGCAUACGCCCUACGGGGAAAGCAGGGGAUCACUUGUGACCUUGCGUUAAUAGAUGAGCCUAAGUCGGAUUAGCUAGUUGGUGGGGUAAAGGCCUACCAAGGCGACGAUCUGUAGCGGGUCUGAGAGGAUGAUCCGCCACACUGGGACUGAGACACGGCCCAGACUCCUACGGGAGGCAGCAGUGGGGAAUAUUGGACAAUGGGGGGAACCCUGAUCCAGCCAUGCCGCGUGUGUGAAGAAGGCCUUAUGGUUGUAAAGCACUUUAAGCGAGGAGGAGGCUCCUGUAGUUAAUACCUACAGAGAGUGGACGUUACUCGCAGAAUAAGCACCGGCUAACUCUGUGCCAGCAGCCGACCGG
RNAcentral lists this ribosomal RNA (520 nucleotides) under uncultured microorganism. RNAcentral's name for it is "bacterial SSU rRNA". It matches the Rfam family "Bacterial small subunit ribosomal RNA", at positions 9 to 520 of the family's 1533-position model. The record is from RNAcentral.